AAUCUAUGAUGUGGGCAUUUGUGAAUCAGCGUCUUAAAAUGCUCCCAAGCUUCAUGGAAACUUUCUCCUUCAAAUUGCUAAAACGUAGUAAUCUCUCUCCUUAGCU
This is a small nucleolar RNA of Gossypium raimondii (Peruvian cotton), 106 nucleotides long. It matches the Rfam family "Plant small nucleolar RNA R71". Rfam says of the family: R71 is a member of the C/D box family of snoRNAs containing the C (UGAUGA) and D (CUGA) box motifs. Multiple nearly identical copies of this snoRNA have been identified in Arabidopsis, and it is thought to function as a 2'-O-ribose methylation guide for 18S ribosomal RNA. The record is from Rfam. NCBI's taxonomy places the organism in Eukaryota, Viridiplantae, Streptophyta, Magnoliopsida, Malvales, Malvaceae.